UCCGGUUGAUCCUGCCAGAGGCCGCUGCUAUCCGGCUGGGACUAAGCCAUGCUAGUCUAGGGGCUUGUACUCCUUCGGGGGUGCAAGCACCGGCGGACGGCUCAGUAACACGUGGACAACCUGCCCUCGGGUGGGGGAUAACCCCGGGAAACUGGGGCUAAUCCCCCAUAGGUGAUGGGUGCUGGAAUGCCCCAUCUCCGAAAGCGCUUAGCGCCCGAGGAUGGGUCUGCGGCGGAUUAGGUAGUUGGUGGGGUAACGGCCCACCAAGCCUAAGAUCCGUACGGGCUGUGGGAGCAGGAGCCCGGAGAUGGACCCUGAGACAAGGGUCCAGGCCCUACGGGGCGCAGCAGGCGCGAAACCUCCGCAAUGCGGGAAACCGCGACGGGGUUAGCCGGAUUGCCC
Molecule: ribosomal RNA, 402 nt
Filed under: uncultured archaeon
Lineage: Archaea
Description: bacterial SSU rRNA
Rfam family: Archaeal small subunit ribosomal RNA
Source: RNAcentral